RNAcentral lists this ribosomal RNA (441 nucleotides) under uncultured bacterium. RNAcentral's name for it is "partial 16S ribosomal RNA". It matches the Rfam family "Bacterial small subunit ribosomal RNA", at positions 338 to 795 of the family's 1533-position model. The record is from RNAcentral.
CCUACGGGGGGCAGCAGUGGGGAAUAUUGCACAAUGGGGGAAACCCUGAUGCAGCGACGCCGCGUGAGUGAAGAAGUAUUUCGGUACGUAAAGCUCUAUCAGCAGGGAAGAAGAAAGACGGUACCUGACUAAGAAGCCCCGGCUAACUACGUGCCAGCAGCCGCGGUAAUACGUAGGGGGCAAGCGUUAUCCGGAUUUACUGGGUGUAAAGGGAGCGUAGACGGCGGUGUAAGUCUGAAGUGAAAGCCCAGGGCUCAACCCUGGGACUGCUUUGGAAACUGUGGAGCUAGAGUGCUGGAGGGGUAAGUGGAAUUCCUGGUGUAGCGGUGAAAUGCGUAGAUAUUAGGAGGAACACCAGUGGCGAAGGCGGCUUACUGGACAGUAACUGACGUUGAGGCUCGAAAGCGUGGGGAGCAAACAGGAUUAGAUACCCGGGUAGUC